GUCAACAACCCAAUGACUAAAGUCAUGGGCUUGUAAGCCCCAUGUUGACCAGACCAAGGCUUGAAACAGAGCCUACGUUAUAGAUGUCAUGACACGUUCGGGUGCUUCUCCAGCCCGUUCCUCUGUCGUGCAAGGUUAAACAAGCGUGGUGGGUAGCGCUAGUGUCUUGCACAUAACAAGCAUCUAUAACAUGGUCGAGGAGAAUAUGAC
Non-coding RNA from Anoxybacillus flavithermus, 210 nucleotides. NCBI's taxonomy places the organism in Bacteria, Bacillati, Bacillota, Bacilli, Caryophanales, Anoxybacillaceae. The record is from Rfam.